Molecule: non-coding RNA, 1667 nt
Organism: Oryza sativa Japonica Group (Japanese rice)
Lineage: Eukaryota; Viridiplantae; Streptophyta; Magnoliopsida; Poales; Poaceae
Source: RefSeq, a predicted model, not a curated record
UCAUUUCAUCAGGAGAUGGAUUCAUCCAACCAAAAAUUCAUAGAUCUUCUCAGUCAAGACUCUCCAAACCAUGCAGAAAAGCCUAGCCACAACUCCCCUCCCCAACAAUUCCCCAAUAAUUUUCCCCAAUCUCAGUUUACCCAAAGCUUCAACCCACAUUUUUUACACAAUUUCUAUCCAUUUCAUUCCCCAAGCAACUAUCCACCAUAUGGUCAUUCUCCUCCCAGCUUUCAAGGUACUCCUCCAAGCUUUCAAGGUAUUCCACAUCAAGGAAAUUGGGCACAACCUAAUUUAGCCAGCUUACAAGGUUUCCAUUUGCAAGAAAAUAUGGUGCACUCACCAAAUCAGGGGUUUGGAACUGCAAACCACCAAGCAAUAUUUGCACUGCAACACCCCUCAGUUAGAGCCACUCCCAACAGUUCUUUCCAUGGGUCGGAGUCAUCGACUCCCUGCCCUGCAAGACAACAAGAAGCGCCAGUUAAUCUCGAGUCGUCAAGUGAAAGCAGCGAAGACAGAGGUGAGGAGAGCAACACGCACCAAUUGGACAGAAGAGGAGAACUUACGGUUAAUUAGUGCUUGGUUGAGCAACUCGGUUGAUCCUACAGAUGGAAAUGACAAAAAGGGAGAGUAUUAUUGGAAGGAUGUGGCUGAUGAGUUCAAUAACAACCGUCCUACAAAUGGCCACAAGAGGACAGUCAAGCAAUUGAAGACACACUGGGGAAAUGUUAAGAAGGACAUUGGGAAGUUUUGUGGAGUUUAUGCUCAAGUUAGACGUACCUGUACCAGUGGACACUCUGAUGACAUGAUCAUGGAAAAAGCUCAUCUAUGGUACAAGAAUCAAUCAAAUCAGAAGAAGCCUUUCACCUUAGAGUAUAUGUGGAGAGAGCUCAAGGAUCAACCAAAAUGGCGAAGUAUUAUCAAAAAGGAAGAAAACAAGAACAAGAGGACUAAGAUUUCUGAGUCAGGAGCUUACACAUCCUCAUCAAACCAAGAGACUGAAGAAGAAUCAUCAAACAAAGAGAGACACCCCGAGGGACAGAAGAAAGCAAAAGAGAGAUUAAAAGGAAAAGGAAAAGGAAAAGCUCAAUCUUCUCCGUUGGGGAACCAGCCAUCUCAGAACAUAGUUUUGUACAACGAAGCUAUGAAAAUUAAAGCUGAAGCAUUAUUGAAAUCAGCAGAGGCAACAGCAAAAUCAGCAGAGGCAAAACGGGAACAAAUAAGGAUGGAAAAGUGGCAGGCAUACAUUAAACUGGAAGAAAAAGAUACCUCUAAUUUUAGUGGAGAAGCUGAGAAGGCAUGAAGCUAUGUUGAACAAAUUAUCUAAAGAACUAGCUGAGGAAUAAAGGAGAAGCAUGUUAUUGUUCCACUGUAGUGCUUAGUGUAUGAUAAGUUUAGUUGUCAAAUUUGGUGUAUUGCUGAUGUACUUGUCAUUUUCAGAAUUUAGCUCUAGUACUAAUGUAAAAGCUUAGUGUACGAUUAAUUUAGUUGGCAAAUUUUUGUGUAUUGUUGAUGUACUUGUCAAUUUCAGAAUUUAGCUCUAGUACUAAUGUAAAAGCUUUUACUAUAUCCCCACUUGUAUUAUGCAAGAAAUCACAUUUUUUACCGCACAUCUCUGCUCUUAAUAUUAUUUUUCAUUCAUGAGUCAUGAUAAUCUUCAUGAAUACAUU